UACCGAGGGGGCCAGCGUUAUUCGGGAUUAUUGGGCGUAAAGGGCGCGUAGGCGGCCAUGCGUGUCUUUCGUGAAAUCCCUCGGCUUAACUGAGGACGUGCGGAAGAAACUGCAAGGCUUGAGUCCGGGAGAGGGGGGUGGAAUUCCCAGUGUAGCGGUGAAAUGCGUAGAUAUUGGGAGGAACACCGGUGGCGAAGGCGGCCCCCUGGACCGGUACUGACGCUGAGGUGCGAAAGCGUGGGGAGCAAACAGG
RNAcentral lists this ribosomal RNA (253 nucleotides) under uncultured bacterium. RNAcentral's name for it is "partial 16S ribosomal RNA". It matches the Rfam family "Bacterial small subunit ribosomal RNA", at positions 524 to 776 of the family's 1533-position model. The record is from RNAcentral.